Faecalibaculum rodentium is the source of this 172-nucleotide non-coding RNA. NCBI's taxonomy places the organism in Bacteria, Bacillati, Bacillota, Erysipelotrichia, Erysipelotrichales, Erysipelotrichaceae. The record is from Rfam.
AAAGCCGCGAGGCUGGGAUGGAAGAAGCGGUGUAGCCAAUCUGACGAGCCUACGAACAGAAACCUGAUACAAGGCCAAAUGGCGGGUGAGGUUGCAACACAAACCAAAGCCCAAAAGGCAAACGUAAAACCAAGACGGUAAAUCAGGAGGUUGUGCAGAGAAAGAUGUGUGC